This 518-nucleotide ribosomal RNA is filed under the name Coxiella endosymbiont of Ornithodoros canestrinii. RNAcentral's name for it is "bacterial SSU rRNA". It matches the Rfam family "Bacterial small subunit ribosomal RNA", at positions 815 to 1336 of the family's 1533-position model. Lineage: Bacteria; Pseudomonadati; Pseudomonadota; Gammaproteobacteria; Legionellales; Coxiellaceae. The record is from RNAcentral.
ACUAGUUGUUGGAGAGUUUACUUUCUAGUAGCGAAGCUAACGCGUUAAGUUCUCCGCCUGGGGAGUACUGCCGCAAGGUUAAAACUCAAAAAAAAGGACGGGGGCCCGCACAAGCGAUGGAGCAUGUGGUUUAAUUCGAUGCAACGCGAAAAACCUUACCUACCCAUACAUCCUUGGAACUAGUUAGAAAUGACUUGGUGCCUUCNGGAACCGAGUGACAGGUGANGGAUGGNUGUCGUCAGCUCGUGUCGUGAGAUGUUGGGUUAAUUCCCGUAACGAGCGCAACCCUCUUCCUUAGUUACCAGCGGUUCGGCGGGGGACUCUAAAGAGAAUGCCGGUGAUAAACUGGAGGAAGGUGGGGAUGAUGUCAAGUCAUCAUGGCCCUUACGGGUAGGGCUACACACGUGCUACAAUGGGCAGUACAAAGGGUUGCCAAACCGUGAGGUGGAGCUAAUCCCACAAAACUGUUCGUAGUCCGGAUUGAAGUCUGCAACUCGACUUCAUGAAGUUGGAACGCA